This is an RNA transcript of Phyllopteryx taeniolatus (common seadragon), 2765 nucleotides long. It is a transcript of the gene named ALK and LTK ligand 2a-like, with no coding region annotated. The record is from RefSeq and is a predicted model, not a curated record. NCBI's taxonomy places the organism in Eukaryota, Metazoa, Chordata, Actinopteri, Syngnathiformes, Syngnathidae. The transcript has 5 exons.
CGUAAAUGCGCGGUGAUCCACAUCUGCAUUAAAGAAGGCGGGCCGCUGACUCGCAGCCAAGUUCAUCUCAAGUGAUGGCCAAAGUUUCGCAACACUCCGCGCGUAAUCCAGUUUGGAGACCUUUUACGCACGGCGCAAUUUCUGCAACCAGCAGACUGGGAAUUUCGCUGGAAGCACUGAGGAGGAGGAGGAGGUGGGGUGGAAGGAGAGGGGGCAUAUAUUGAAAGAAGGGCGAGGAAGAGCGAGAAGAGUCGUCAUCGUCGCUGGCAUCGCACAAGACGAGGAGGCUGAGAGGAGCUUCCCCGCCCACGCGGACAUGGAGCACCGCAGCCCGGUGGGCGCUCGUCACCCGAAGCAGAGGACACUUUGCGCAUAGAGUUGAUUUGCUGAGCGGACUUAACCAGCGGGAUUGGAACAGCGCACCUUACCUUGAAGCUAUCAAGAAGAAGGACAACGCUUUUUUGGGGGGAGUGGGGGGGUCCCGUCUCUCAUCCGUGUGAGCCAUGGUGGUGAUGCGCGUGCCCGCCGCCCUGGGACUGGUGCUGCUUCUCACGUGCGCGCUCGCCAGCGCCGCGCCGACGACGAGAGCGAGCGUGAGCCGAGGUUGGAGGCGCGCGGAGGAGGGGCGGAGCCGCGGCCACACCGAGACCGCCACCGCCACCGCCACCGGGACGACGGCGGCCGAAGCCCCCUGGAGCCGUCGGAGGAGCGCCGUCGCCAUGACGACGACAAUGCCCCACGGGCAGCGGAAGGAUUCAAAGAGAUCGAAAACAGACAGAAGGGAUCGGACAGCCGCCGUAUCCCCGCAAGAUCACCGGAGGAAGGGCAAAUACCUGAAACAUAUCACAGGGCCCCUCUACUUCAGCCCUAAGUGCUGGAAGCAUGUGUACCACGUGUACUACCAGACCAGAGACUGCACGAUACCUGCAUGUAAGCAAGCUAAACACGAGCUCUUUGCCUCACUGAUCAUCCACCGCAUGUUGCCCAACAAAAGCUUCCAAGACCUCAUUUAAGGCAUCUCUAUUUUCUUCUUUUUGGCAGAUAUCAAAAGAUGUGCACGGCUUCUCACGCGUCUUGCCGGCAGCCCAAUGUGCACGGGGGGCUAACACGAGCAAGGUCCAAGCUAAACACCUGCUAUCCAGAAUUCUAAUGGUCUUGGCUGGGAAAAGUGCUUCAGAGAGCCGUCUGAAAAAAACACCGAGACCAGCCCUUUUGUUGAACUCGGGCAUAACAAGUGUCCUUCUCCUGAAGUCUACUGACAAUAUGGACGGCGCUCAAAGACAGAAAGAACCCACUGGGACCAAGAGCCCUUUCAAAUAUGUUGCAAAUCUUGCAAAGAUGGAGACGAGAGACAUCAGGACGAUCCAUGAGCUCGUUUUUUUUUUUUUUAUAAAAAGGACUAAAGGACGCUGACUCCGUUGGCCCGAGCGCCUACACGAGAUGUUCACGGGACACGAACCACGGUGGGAAGCCACAGAAGAUUCCAUCAAAAUCUAUAUUUAUAUAUUUGAAAAGCUUCGACUGGAGGCCGCAACCAUUUCCACAUUUGUGUGUAAAUCGUGUAAAACAAAACCAUAAAAAAAAUGUCCAGCAUAUAAGCGAUAUAUAGCUGUAUAUGAUAUAUAAAAGCAAGUUAUAUUUAAAUAAAUUAUAUAAUUGGUACAAAAAUCCAGGGGUAGUUUUUCCCUGCUGAUAAGGUGAUUGCUGAGCCAAGCAUGGCGGCGGCGGCCCCUCUGUCAGUGCUUUUUUUGGGAGGUGUUCUUCAAUUUGUUUCGUUUUCCCCCGUAACGCUGACACAGUUGACCCGCGCUGUUUAUGAACUGUUUAUUAGCAACGCCUUGCCUGAGCUUUAUACGAGGCGCGAGUGCGAAUAUAGAGUCCGUGUGUAUGCGCGUGUCAAACCUUUUUGGUUUGUUUUCCUUGAAACAUGUCGGUGAGGAAACGUUAGAUUAGAGACAGCCGUCAUGUUAAUGGGCAAUAAAUGAUCGUGUCUGACCUGUACUAAUGGAUUUUUCAAUGCUGCGAGCGCCCACCAGGAAACGCACGUUGUUUUGUACGUUGGCAGAUUCCGAAGCGAUGCAGCUGCAGUUAUGAAUAGUAACAAGACGUAGAAAGUGUUGUUUUUUUUUUGGGUGCUUGAAAACAACACGCUGCUUAAGGAUAAUCACUUUGCAUUGGCCACACAUUACAACUUCAAUUCCACAAGGCCAAAAGCGAUUUUGAUGCAGCGAUGCAGAGUUUUUGAUGCAUAUUAGGUCCUUUAACGUUGAAGUCAGUGAAAUGACAUCCUAAAUCAAACACAAUCUGUUUCUGGACAUGCGUCAAACCCCUUAAACAUUUUACCCCCAUACAAAAAGAAUAAUUCUAUUUCAUGCCCCUUUCCUGUCGCUUAAGGUCAUUUUACAGGCUAAUGAUUAGCCUCGCUUGAAUAAGUUGGAGGAGGUUGGCGAGAGACAUUGGCAACGUUAUACAGUAUUUAUGGCUUUUAAUGUGAGGACCAGGAUUUUUUUUUAUUUUUAUUUUUUUUAUACAAUACUUACAAAAAGUUAGGGAUACUGGACUUUUAGUUCAGAUUUCUAACUAGCAACCCUCUAUUGCUCAGUGACUGUUUUUUUUUGGUUUUUUUGUCAAUGUCUUUAUGUCUCCAAAGUGUUCUCUGUCAAUUGACUGUCUGUUGUGGUACUAGAGCGGCUCCAACUCCCGGAGACAAAUUCCUUGUGUGUUUUUUGGACAUACUUGGCAAAUAAAGAUGAUUCUGAUUCUGA